GACGAACGCUGGCGGCGUGCCUAAUACAUGCAAGUCGAACGCUUCUUUCCUCCCGAGUGCUUGCACUCAAUUGGAAAGAGGAGUGGCGGACGGGUGAGUAACACGUGGGUAACCUACCCAUCAGAGGGGGAUAACACUUGGAAACAGGUGCUAAUACCGCAUAACAGUUUAUGCCGCAUGGCAUAAGAGUGAAAGGCGCUUUCGGGUGUCGCUGAUGGAUGGACCCGCGGUGCAUUAGCUAGUUGGUGAGGUAACGGCUCACCAAGGCCACGAUGCAUAGCCGACCGGGGGGGGGGAUCGGCCACCCGGGGACUGAGAACGGGCCAAGACUCCGACGGGAGGCAGCAGGAGGGAAUCUUCGGCAAUGGACGAAAGUCUGACCGAGCAACGCCGCGGGAGUGAAGAAGGUUUUCGGAUCGUAAACUCUGUUGUUAGAGAAGAACAAGGACGUUAGUAACUGAACGUCCCCUGACGGUAUCUAACCAGAAAGCCACGGCUAACUACGUG
This 507-nucleotide ribosomal RNA is filed under the name uncultured bacterium. RNAcentral's name for it is "partial 16S ribosomal RNA". It matches the Rfam family "Bacterial small subunit ribosomal RNA", at positions 28 to 507 of the family's 1533-position model. The record is from RNAcentral.